This 464-nucleotide ribosomal RNA is filed under the name uncultured bacterium. RNAcentral's name for it is "partial 16S ribosomal RNA". It matches the Rfam family "Bacterial small subunit ribosomal RNA", at positions 339 to 795 of the family's 1533-position model. The record is from RNAcentral.
CUACGGGUCGCUGCAGUGGGGAAUUUUGGACAAUGGGGGAAACCCUGAUCCAGCCAUCCCGCGUGUGCGAUGAAGGCCUUCGGGUUGUAAAGCACUUUUGGCAGGAAAGAAACGUCGCGGGUUAAUACCCUGCGAAACUGACGGUACCUGCAGAAUAAGCACCGGCAAACUACGUGCCAGCAGCCGCGGUAAUACGUAGGGUGCAAGCGUUAAUCGGAAUUACUGGGCGUAAAGCGUGCGCAGGCGGUUCGGAAAGAAAGAUGUGAAAUCCCAGAGCUUAACUUUGGAACUGCAUUUUUAACUACCGGGCUAGAGUGUGUCAGAGGGAGGUGGAAUUCCGCGUGUAGCAGUGAAAUGCGUAGAUAUGCGGAGGAACACCGAUGGCGAAGGCAGCCUCCGGGGAUAACACUGACGCUCAUGCACGAAAGCGUGGGGAGCAAACAGGAUUAGAUACCCGGGUAGUC